AACAUAGCCAUUAGAAGAUCUUUAUGGUUUAACCUGCCCANUGUUGAAAAAUGAAUGGCCGCGGUACUCUGACCGUGCUAAGGUAGCGUAAUAAGUUGGCUUUUAAAUGGAGUCAGGUAUGAAUGGAUUAACUGGGUUUAGCUGUCUCAUAAGUGUUAUAUUGAAUUUACUGUCCAUGUGAAAAAGCUUGGAUUUUAUAGGGGGACGAGAAGACCCUUAAAAUUUUAUUAAAAACAGUUGUUAAUUGUUUGCAAUUUUGUUGGGGCGACAUAGAAAUAAUUAUAACUUUCUGUAAAAUAUUAGUCGGAAUUUUCAGGUAAAGAUAAAUUACUUAAGGGAUAACAGCAUAAUUCUAAAAUUGAGUUUGUGACCUCGAUGUUGGACUAGGAAGCUAGUGGGUUAGAUGCCUACUGUGGAAAUUCUGUUCGAAUUUUAACUCCU
This 441-nucleotide ribosomal RNA is filed under the name Diaphoreolis viridis. RNAcentral's name for it is "partial 16S ribosomal RNA". It matches the Rfam family "Archaeal large subunit ribosomal RNA", at positions 1904 to 2665 of the family's 2987-position model. Lineage: Eukaryota; Metazoa; Mollusca; Gastropoda; Nudibranchia; Trinchesiidae. The record is from RNAcentral.